Molecule: non-coding RNA, 26 nt
Filed under: Rattus norvegicus (Norway rat)
Lineage: Eukaryota; Metazoa; Chordata; Mammalia; Rodentia; Muridae
Source: RNAcentral
UGCUUUUGCUGAUCUGGGAUGGCAUG